CAAAGAUUAAGCCAUGCAUGUCUAAGUAUAAACAAAUCUAUACAGUGAAACUGCGAAUGGCUCAUUAUAUCAGUUAUAAUUUAUUUGAUGAUACAAUUUACUACUUGGAUAACCGUGGUAAUUCUAGAGCUAAUACAUGCAAAACAUACUCCGACUUCUGGAAGGAGAGCAUUUAUUAGAUACAAAACCAAUGGGGGCAACCUCUUAUUUGGUGAAUCAUAAUAACUAAGCUUAUCGCAUGGCCUUGUGCCGGCGAAGGAUCAUUCAAAUUUCUGCCCUAUCAACUGUCGAUGGUAGUAUAGGGGACUACCCAUGGUGGUAACGGGUAACGGGGAAUUAGGGUUCGAUUCCGGAGAGGGAGCCUGAGAAAUGGCUACCACUUCUAAGGAAGGCAGCAGGCGCGCAAAUUACCCAAUCCUGACACAGGGAGGUAGUGACAAUAAAUAACAAUCCAGGGCUUACUAGUCUUGGAAUUGUAAUGAGCACAAUUUAAACACCUUAACGAGGAACAAUUGGAGGGCAAGUCUGGUGCCAGCAGCCGCGGUAAUUCCAGCUCCAAUAGCGUAUAUUAAAGUUGUUGCAGUUAAAAAGCUCGUAGUUGAACUUUAGGUUUAUCGGCUUGUGAUAACAAUAUGGGGGUGCUCUAUUCCGCUGCUUGUUUGAUUUAUUAGGCAGGUAGUAGGAGGGGUGCUCUCGUGUCGCAAUGCUGAGGCCUUACAUUUCCGGCGUGGAACCUCUUGUUGGUGCUUUCGGGUGCCACAGGGGGAACAAAUUUCAUUGCCGGGACUUUUACCUUGAAAAAAUUAGAGUGUUCAAAGCAGGCGUUUAUAGCCCGGAUAUGUUAGCAUGGAAUAAUAGAAUAGGACUUUGGUUUUAUUUUGUUGGUUUCUGAAACCAAGGUAAUGAUUAAUAGGGACAGUUGGGGACAUUUGUAUGGCACUGUCAGUGGUGAAAUACUUGAACCAGUGUCAGAGAAACUGAUGCGAAAGCGUCUGUCAAGGAUGUUUUCAUUAAUCAAGAACGAAAGUUAGGGGAUCGAAGACGAUUAGAUACCGUCGUAGUCUUAACCAUAAACUAUGCCGACUCGGGAUCAGGCAAUGUUAAAAUAAUAUGACUUGCUUGGCACCGUAUGAGAAAUCAAAGUUUUUGGGUUMCGGGGGGAGUAUGGUCGCAAGGCUGAAGCUUAAAGGAAUUGGACGGAAGGGCACCACCAGGAAGUGGAGCCUGAGGCUCAAUUCGACUCAACACGGGAAAACUCACCAGGUCCAGACAUAGUGAGGAUUGACAGAUUGAAAGCUCUUUCUUGAUUCUAUGGGUGGUGGUGCAUGGCCGUUCUUAGUUGGUGGAGUGAUUUGUCUGGUUAAUUCCGAUAACGAACGAGACCUUAACCUGCUAAAUAGGCCCCGCUAUUCUGAAUUAAAUUUUUGAUUUUAGAAUGGGCGGGAAAAAAAUAAAUAGCUUCUUAGAGGGACUGUUAGUGGUUAGCUAACGGAAGUUUGAGGCAAUAACAGGUCUGUGAUGCCCUUAGAUGUUCUGGGCUGCACGCGCGCUACACUGAUGAAGUCAACGAGUAUAGCAGAUAAAAAUGCACGUCCUUGGCCGAAAGGUCUGGGUAAUCUUGGGAAACUUCAUCGUGAUGGGGAUAGACCAUUGCAAUUAUUGGUCUUGAACGAGGAAUUCCUAGUAAGCGCAAGUCAUCAGCUUGCGUUGAUUACGUCCCUGCCCUUUGUACACACCGCCCGUCACUACUACCGAUGAAUGGCUUAGUGAGACUCCGGACUGGCUAUAAUCGCUUGGCAACGAGCUUUUACUGCUGGGAAGCUGUUCAAACUUGGUCAUUUAGAGGAAGUAAAAGUCGUAACAA
Molecule: ribosomal RNA, 1864 nt
Filed under: Smittium megazygosporum
Lineage: Eukaryota; Fungi; Kickxellomycota; Harpellomycetes; Harpellales; Legeriomycetaceae
Description: SSU rRNA
Rfam family: Eukaryotic small subunit ribosomal RNA
Source: RNAcentral